This 1712-nucleotide long non-coding RNA is filed under the name Trifolium pratense (red clover). RNAcentral's name for it is "long non-coding RNA (TPRA_LNC003412)". Lineage: Eukaryota; Viridiplantae; Streptophyta; Magnoliopsida; Fabales; Fabaceae. The record is from RNAcentral.
ACCAUUUUGGUUGCUAGAUGUGUGAGGCGUUCUCACUAUAGGGUCAUUUUGAUUCGUAAAAAGUAAAUACCGGAUAUAACAAUACAAGAUAAAUAUUUAAGUUAUUGAACAAAUUUUUAUUUACAUGUUUUAAAUACCCUGUGCAAGGGACAAAAAGUUGUCCUCUGAUUUAGUGAGGGAAAAAUUUCAGUUUUUUCCGGUCUCUUGUCCCCCAAUUUGUCUAGUCUUAAGAAUGGUUUUAAGAUCAAAACAGUACAAUUAAAGUUGUCCUGUUCAAUCCCUUAUAUUUUAGUAGAUCAAACGCAAAUCUUUUUUUUGUGGAUAAACAACCAUUUUGGUGGUCUUUGAAUGUGAGAUGUUGUUACUAUAGUAUCUGAGUAUAUUGAAAUUACAAAUAAAUCUCUAAGUGUCUCUUUUGUUAGUAAUUUUAUUUAUGAACUAAAUUGACCAACAAAAAUACAUUCGAGUACUAAACUAACUAACUAAAGAUGAGAAUGGAUUCUCUCAAGUGUGAUUUACACUUGAGAGAAUAAAGUGUAAUCUAACACCAUCUAAAUUCAUUUUCUCUAAAUUUUUAUAUGUUUCUCUCCCUUAAUCAAUGGUAACAAACCACACUUUAUUCUCUCAAGUGUAAAUUACACUUGAGAGAAUCCAUUCCCAACUAAAGAUACAUUUAAGGACCAAAAUGAGUAACAAAAGACUCGUUUAUGUAUUUUUGUUUUUAAUUUUGAUACAUUCAAAUACCAUUGUGACAACACAUCACACAUUUAAGAAUCAAAAUCACUGUUUACUCUUUUCUUUCUUUCCCCUGUUUUCUUGGAUUGUUUUCUGCAUAUUGUAUGUUGUUUGGUGUAUUUAUUUGUUCUGGUUAGGAUUAAUUUUAUGGUUAUUCAUAACGUGUUAGCAACACACCUUCUAACACAUUCUUCCAAACGCACACACUCUGAUUGGUCGAAAUUCAAACAAGUCUCACUAAAUUGUGUAGGUCUGACAUAAGUUUUGAUCUAUGAAUUUAGACAACCAACAACCAAGCCUUAUUCCACUAAAUCUGGUAUUCUAACUACUUCGGCCAUGUCCUUUGUUCUAUAUGAAUUUAGACCCUUGGGAAAAAAGUGUGAAAAAGAGAAUAUUAAACGGUGUAUAUUGCUAACAUUUCGCUUUCUCAAAUUCAAUCUAGUGUUACAAGCAUCUUUGGUCUUGUGUGAGUUGUAAAUAAUACCCAUUAGGCCAUAUAAUUUUACAAUGCACACGUAGUAACUUGCUUUAGUAAAAGGUUUUCAAGGGAUAAUAGCAGCAUCAAUGCCAACACAUGGUGUAAGUAAGAGUAUGGUAUGGUGGGCAUGCAGGGGAUCUGCUUUUACACUUUCUUGACAAAUCACACUUUAUUCUUUACCUUCUUUGUUCUUGUAAUUUGCGCAUUCAUAUGUCAGAGAAUGUUCUUUUGUAUUAUUAUAACUCAUCAGUCACUCAUCAUGAGUACUAAGUGGGAGAUGAUAAUGAGGGGAUGAUUAUUAUGAUGAUUAUGUACUAUUGAUUACUUUCAUGUUUUACUGAGCCAUGUUGGUUCAAAUUGGUACAUAUGAAUGAACCCAUUUGAUACUUUUAUAUUCUUUGUAUAUCUAUUCAUGUUAUUUUUUUCCUUUUAUCUUUGUACUUUAGGGGCUAUUGCUGCAUCUUCUAAUUAUAAGGUUAGAUUUCAAUGCACAAGUAUG